ACGGAAGGCAGCAGUAGGGAAUUUUGCACAAUGGGCGCAAGCCUGAUGCAGCAACGCCGCGUGAGCGAUGAAGGCCUUUGGGUCGUAAAGCUCUGUCCUUGGGGAAGAAGAUCUGACGGUACCCUUGGAGGAAGCCCCGGCUAACUACGUGCCAGCAGCCGCGGUAAUACGUAGGGGGCAAGCGUUAUCCGGAAUUAUUGGGCGUAAAGAGUACGUAGGUGGUUUUUUAAGCGCGGGGUUUAAGGCUAUGGCUUAACCAUAGUUCGCCCCGUGAACUGGAAGACUUGAGUGCUGGAGGGGAAAGUGGAAUUCCUAGUGUAGCGGUGAAAUGCGUAGAUAUUAGGAGGAACACCGGUGGCGAAGGCGACUUUCUGGACAGCUACUGACACUGAGGUACGAAAGCGUGGGGAGCAAACAGGAUUAGAUACCCUGGUA
Molecule: ribosomal RNA, 435 nt
Filed under: uncultured Anaerovorax sp.
Lineage: Bacteria; Bacillati; Bacillota; Clostridia; Peptostreptococcales; Anaerovoracaceae
Description: partial 16S ribosomal RNA
Rfam family: Bacterial small subunit ribosomal RNA
Source: RNAcentral